AAAUAAUAAAUCCAAGUAGUAAAUAAUAUUCAAAACACUCACUGCGCAGUUUUGCAUGAUUUAUUACAAAACAUAAAAGAAACUUUUUAUUAUAUUGAUAUGAUGAAACUACAAUAAAUAGCAUUUUUUCAAGAACAUUUUAAGAUGUCCCUAUUGCUCGUAAAUGUUAUUCUUGGAUAUGUAUUUAUAUAUUCUGUUGAAAGUGCGCCUCAGCAACCAGAAAUAAACGAUCAAUACGAAACUACAGAACUCAAUAAUGUAACAGAAGAUACACAAGUAGACGCAACUCGACGCAAUGCGGUAUCAAUUACUUUCAGUGCAAAACUUUACCAUUUUCUUAGCACGCCGAUUGUCAAAUUCAUCUCAGCUCCGAAAGUCAAUGCUGUAUUACGAAAUAUCGGAACUUGCAUUGUAAACGGAGCGAUGGAGAUCGUCUCAUACUAUUUUCCAGCUCCCUUUAUACCUUUAAUAGCGUCUGCUGCCGGAAUGGUUAUUCCUUUUGAACCUGUUGUUUUGUUGAAGGAGAAAAUGCCUGUAACUAGUUAUAGGAGAGCGUUCAAAACAGCUGUGGAUUCGUUUUUAGGUACUUUUGAUAAAUAUAAAAGUGAUGAUGAUCCUUAUAUGACGAGACGGUUUAAUAGAAGGUUUAAUUAUGAUUCCAAAGAGAAGGAGAAAGAUUGAUUUUAAUAAAAUGUUUUAUUUUUUGA
Long non-coding RNA from Manduca sexta (tobacco hornworm), 707 nucleotides. RefSeq lists it as uncharacterized. The transcript is spliced from 2 exons. The record is from RefSeq and is a predicted model, not a curated record. Lineage: Eukaryota; Metazoa; Arthropoda; Insecta; Lepidoptera; Sphingidae.